AUGCAGGAUAAAAACAUGUCGCUGAACCUCGUACCUGCUGCUGGAAUGAAGUUCACCACGUACGACAAGGCAUGGGACUUUUACAACAAUUAUGCAAGAUGUGCAGGGUUUGGCAUACGCAAGAGGGCAAAACACUGGACAAAUGCCUACAUUGUCUGCUCAAGAGAAGGGGCACACAAGCAGACUGUGUCAGAUUAUCACCGGGUACGUCAGAAGACAUCAAAAAGGAUUGGCUGCAAUGCAAAGAUUAGAGUCCAAAAAAGGAAGGAUGGAAAAUUUGUGAUAGAAAUGGUUCAACUCAACCACAAUCACAAGAUGCUGGAAAGCCCCGGGAUGCUUUUGCACAUGCAAUCGCACAAAAAAGACGAUCCUUUGAUAGGCCAGUUAGUGAAAGACAUGCAACUGGACAACCACACACAUGCUCAGAUGAUUUCGAUGCUGUCGCGUAUGUCCGGUGGUCUGCAGUACAUGGGACAUACUAGCCGCGACUGGGUAAACAAGAAACAGAAGUUUGCCAGAGAAGAGUCUGAAGAUGAUGUCAAGAAACUUCUGGAUUUCUUCAAGAAAAUGCAGAAGAUAAACCCAGAGUUCUUCUAUGAUUAUGACGUUGGUGCAGAUAACCGUGUAAGAAACGUCUUUUGGGCGAAAGCAAGUUGGAAAGGAUCGUAUGAAGAUUUUGGAGACUGCAUUACAUUUAGCACGAUGUAUAAAACUAACAAAUUCCAGAUGCCGCUGGGAGUGUUUGUGGGGGUGAACCAUCAUCUACAGAGCACCAUAUUUGCUGUUGCGCUCGUGUGAGAUGAAAUAAUACCAUCAUUUGAGUGGUUUUUCAAAACCUUUGUGAGGUGUAUGAACAACAAGCCGCCAAUCUGCAUGCUGACAAACCAGUGUUCUUCGAUGAAGGCAGCAUUAAAAACUAUCCUCCCACAAACUCUGCAUAAGCUGUGUAGGUGGCGUAUCAUGAAGAAGUACAAAGACCACCUUGCCUUGCUGUAUAAGGCGCACGAGAAGCUCAAGGACGAACUCAAUGCAGUGCUGAACCACCCACUAAUGCCGUCAGAAUUUGAACAAGCAUGGAAGAACCUCAUUCAGAGGUACAACUUGCAAGACAACAAAGUGAUGAAUUCGCUCUGGGAUGACAGGCACGAGUGGAUCUUGGCUUACUAG
RNAcentral lists this ribosomal RNA (1167 nucleotides) under Triticum aestivum (bread wheat). RNAcentral's name for it is "partial small subunit ribosomal RNA". The record is from RNAcentral. Lineage: Eukaryota; Viridiplantae; Streptophyta; Magnoliopsida; Poales; Poaceae.